AAAAAAGAAGUUAAAUUAACAACACAUGCUAAUUUCAAGUGUGUGUGUGCCCUGCUCUGCCGCCCGGCCCGGACGUUGUCGACCGCUGGAGGGGGACUCAGAGAGGAAGACAGUAGUCGUCCCACCAUCCAUUCCUGCCUGAUCCUCAGCCUGCCUAAUUCUGGAGACGGGCACUGUGGUGACGUCCAUAUCCGACGCCUGACAGCGGGAGACGCCGUAGACCCGGCAGGAGAUUCGUGGUGAUGGGUGCACUAUAUAGGGACAUGCAGCAGCACUGUCAACACAGUACUAGCAGGAGGAGGCGGUUCAGCCAAUCCAGCGCCUCUUCUCACCUUUUCUUCUCUCUGAUGCUGUUGCCCGACGCCACAAUCCAAUGGAAACCAGAAGAGGGGAACCACUGCUGCCAGUGCUGAAAGGGGCAACCGCCGCUGCCUAAGAGUAUACAGCCUGGUCAGCACAUGUCACAUUAUCUCCACGGGACGCCAUUGGGGCUCAUUCACGCACGGCAGACUAGAAGGCACAAGAUUUGCAAGCCUACA
Pseudophryne corroboree (corroboree frog) is the source of this 539-nucleotide long non-coding RNA. RefSeq lists it as uncharacterized. The record is from RefSeq and is a predicted model, not a curated record. Lineage: Eukaryota; Metazoa; Chordata; Amphibia; Anura; Myobatrachidae. The transcript has 4 exons.